GGUCAUUGUGGAGGCUGGAAUUCUGUUCUGACCACACAAUGGUCCAAAUUUCCUUCUCAACCCACCUUGUAAGCAACAUAGCACAUCUCAGUGUUUCAUUUCAACAUUAUAAGUGAAUAGCAGAUGGGGAUCAGUGGAAAUGCAAUUAGUUUUUGUUUUCAUUUAGUUGGCUGCAUUGCAAGGACAUCACCAGCAGCGAUCAUCCAAAGAACCUUGUAGGGUUCUGUAGAUGUCUAUCAUGAUGCAUUCAGUUUACAGCAAUGGUUCUCAACCUGUGAGUCCCCAGGUUGAGAACCACUGAGUUACAGGAACAUAACGGAUGUUACCACUAACUCCACUACUCUUGAUAAUACAUAAAUGGCUAUUUUGGGGGAACUGUGCUGUUUACAAGCUGCCCUUUGGAGUGGUAGCAUUGUGAAUGAUAACUGGCAAAUAGAGGGAGAAAACAUGGAGGCAGACUUUGUAUUUUCAGGUACAGACAUUACUGCAGACACAGACUGCAGCCAGAAAUCAGAAGAUGUUUACUUCUUGGGAGGAAAGCAAUGACCAAUCUCGAUAAAAUAGUGAAGAGUAGAGACAUCAUAUUGGCAACGAAGCUCCGCAUAGUCAAAGCAAUGGCAUUCCCAGUAGUAACCUAUGGACAUGAGAGCUGGACCAUAAGGAAAGCUGAGCGAAGGAAGAUAGAUGCUUUUGAACUGUGGUGCUGGAGGAAAAUUCUGAGAGUGCCUUGGAUUGUGAGAAGAUCCAACCAGCCCAUACUUCAGGAAAUAAAGCCAGACUUCUCAUUGGAGGGAAGGAUAUUAGAGGCAAAGAUGAAGUACUUUAGCCACAUCAUGAGAAGAAAGGUAAAAUGGAAGGAAAAAGAAA
Anolis sagrei ordinatus is the source of this 867-nucleotide non-coding RNA. Lineage: Eukaryota; Metazoa; Chordata; Lepidosauria; Squamata; Anolidae. The record is from RefSeq and is a predicted model, not a curated record.